CCUGUGUAUCUUGACCACGCUUCUAUCAUGCUAUUAACAUGUUAUUGGUUUCUCCUCCCUGGCCCCAGCGAUAAUCCAUUGACUUACAUUUGUAGAAUUCUACCAGGGGUAUGACAGGCCAGCUUCACCUCUUAAUAUCCAUUGAUGGUAGAAUUCCAUCAUCCCCUUCUUGUCUUUAAUCCCUUAAGGACACAUGGCAUGUGUGAC
Molecule: non-coding RNA, 207 nt
Organism: Pelobates cultripes (western spadefoot toad)
Lineage: Eukaryota; Metazoa; Chordata; Amphibia; Anura; Pelobatidae
Source: the annotation of a GenBank genome assembly